Molecule: ribosomal RNA, 425 nt
Filed under: uncultured bacterium
Lineage: Bacteria
Description: bacterial SSU rRNA
Rfam family: Bacterial small subunit ribosomal RNA
Source: RNAcentral
GUGGGGAAUAUUGGACAAUGGGCGCAAGCCUGAUCCAGCCAUGCCGCGUGAGUGAUGAAGGCCUUAGGGUUGUAAAGCUCUUUCAGUAGGGAAGAUAAUGACGGUACCUACAGAAGAAGCCCCGGCUAACUUCGUGCCAGCAGCCGCGGUAAUACGAAGGGGGCUAGCGUUGUUCGGAUUUACUGGGCGUAAAGCGCACGUAGGCGGAUUGGUCAGUUAGAGGUGAAAUCCCGAAGCUCAACUUCGGAACUGCCUUUAAUACUGCCAGUCUCGAGUCCGGAAGAGGUGAGUGGAACUCCUAGUGUAGAGGUGGAAUUCGUAGAUAUUAGGAAGAACACCAGUGGCGAAGGCGGCUCACUGGUCCGGUACUGACGCUGAGGUGCGAAAGCGUGGGGAGCAAACAGGAUUAGAAACCCGUGUAGUCC